Molecule: ribosomal RNA, 430 nt
Filed under: uncultured bacterium
Lineage: Bacteria
Description: bacterial SSU rRNA
Rfam family: Bacterial small subunit ribosomal RNA
Source: RNAcentral
AGAGUUUGAUCCUGGCUCAGGAUGAACGCUGGCGGCGUGCCUAAUACAUGCAAGUCGAACGAGCUCUUCGGAGCUAGUGGCGGACGGGUGAGUAACACGUUGGUACCUGCCCCGAAGUGGGGAAUAACUGCCCGAAAGGGUGGCUAAUACCGCAUAAUACCGCAAGGUUAAAGCAGUAAUGCGCUUCGGGAGGGGCCUGCGUCCCAUUAGCUAGUUGGCGGGGUAAAUGCCCACCAAGGCGACGAUGGGUAGCUGGAUCGAGAGGUUGACCAGCCACACUGGGACUGAGAUACGGCCCAGACUCCUACGGGAGGCAGCAGUAAGGAAUCUUCCACAAUGGACGAAAGUCUGAUGGAGCAACGCCGCGUGCAGGAUGACGGCCUUCGGGUUGUAAACUGCUUUUAUAUAGGAAGAUUAUGACGGUACUAUA